GAUGAACGCUGGCGGCGUGCCUAAUACAUGCAAGUCGAGCGAACGGACGAGAAGCUUGCUUCUCUGAUGUUAGCGGCUGACGGGUGAGUAACACGUGGAUAACCUACCUAUAAGACUGGGAUAACUUCGGGAAACCGGAGCUAAUACCGGAUAAUAUUUUGAACCGCAUGGUUCAAAAGUGAAAGACGGUUUUGCUGUCACUUAUAGAUGGAUCCGCGCUGCAUUAGCUAGUUGGUAAGGUAACGGCUUACCAAGGCAACGAUGCAUAGCCGACCUGAGAGGGUGAUCAGCCACACUGGAACUGAGACACGGUCCAGACUCCUACGGGAGGCAGCAGUAGGGAAUCUUCCGCAAUGGGCGAAAGCCUGACGGAGCAACGCCGCGUGAGUGAUGAAGGUAUUCGGAUCGUAAAACUCUGUUAUUAGGGAAGAACAAAUGUGUAAGUAACUAUGCACAUCUUGACGGUACCUAAUCAGAAAGCCACGGCUAACUACGUG
RNAcentral lists this ribosomal RNA (497 nucleotides) under uncultured bacterium. Its description in RNAcentral is "partial 16S ribosomal RNA". It matches the Rfam family "Bacterial small subunit ribosomal RNA", at positions 28 to 507 of the family's 1533-position model. The record is from RNAcentral.